This 1096-nucleotide long non-coding RNA is filed under the name Gossypium barbadense (sea-island cotton). Its description in RNAcentral is "long non-coding RNA (GBAR_LNC002823)". The record is from RNAcentral. Lineage: Eukaryota; Viridiplantae; Streptophyta; Magnoliopsida; Malvales; Malvaceae.
CCCUUUUUAACCCUUUUGCUCCCCUCGCCCUAGAUCUAGACUAAACAAAAAAGCAAAAAACACCUUCAGAAAAUCGGAAAUAGUAAAGGAACUCUUCGGUUCCGACUUCUCCGACUCACAAAAGGUACCAAAAAUUUUAUUUCUUUUGAAUGUAUAUAUAUAUGUAUGAGUGCUAUAUUCAAAAAUAAAUUUGCAAAGGAAAUGAAAAACCGAACGAAAGACCACCUUUUUUUUUUCUUUUGAAUCUGUUUUUGUUGUUUUUUUUAUUAAUCCUCAAUCUCUGCUUCUACAACCUAUUUUUUUUGGCUUUAUAGCCGAUUUUACAAUCUUUCUUGCUGCUGUUCAUGCUACUCUAUUCUGCUAUGCUAUUGUUUCCUUUUCUUUUGUUUCUUUGCUGUCAACUUUUUACUUUUCUAUCCUUUUUUUCGCUGUUUUUUCCUUUUUUUUUUGUUUGCGUGUUGAUUUAGCCUUGGCAAGUGUCAGAGGAGCACCAGAGGCGUAUGAGGCCAGUGAUGGCAGUGGAGGCGCAUACGGGGAGGGCUGAAGUGACCUGGUGCGGCGCCUAGGGUUUUCCCUUCCCUUCUUUUGCUGAAAAAUAUUUAGUGGGCUAGGGUUGAUUUAGGUAGUGGGCUGAUGUGGUUUUAAUUUUUUUUUGAGCUAUGGACUGUUAAAACUUUGGGCCUAUUGUAAAAACUUGGACUGAUAAAUUUCAUUAAAAGCCCGGGUAAAAUUGGGCUAUUACACCAAUAAAGGCCCAUUUCCAAAAUUAUUUAUGGAAAUAGGUUGCUUCUAAAAAUAAUUAUAGGUAUAGAUUGAAAAUCCAAAAAUGCACUGACAAGGACACGUUUUUCCUUGUGUCAAGCAAAAGCACGCUGACAUGGAUGCAAUUUUUUGAAAAUUUAUGAGAACAAGUCAAUAUAAAGACCCAAAGUGGCAACACUAUUUUUUUGUGCCAUCAAUUAAUGUGGAAAUAAAACUUACAAAACAUAUCUUUACGUAGACCCAAAGUCUUAUUUCCCUUAUUUUCUUAAGCAAUGUGUAAUGUAAGAUAUGUGUUUAUAUAGAUUCAUGAAUAAGAUUGCAACUUGUUCUUACA